This 69-nucleotide transfer RNA is filed under the name Marmota monax (woodchuck). It matches the Rfam family "tRNA". From Rfam's summary of the family: Transfer RNA (tRNA) molecules are approximately 80 nucleotides in length. The record is from Rfam by way of RNAcentral. Lineage: Eukaryota; Metazoa; Chordata; Mammalia; Rodentia; Sciuridae.
GGAGUUGUGGCUCAGUGGUAGAGCACUUGCCUAGCAUGUGUGAAGCCCUGAAUUCAAUUCUCAGCACCA